UCACAUUAUUUUCAGCACACUGCUUUUUAAGCUUGCACUCUUUUUCUUUGACAAGCACCUUGCACACUUUUUUUUGAGACGCAUUCUUUUUCAAUAUACCUUCUGUUUUGAGCAACUCUUCUUUCAUGGAUAAUUAAAGAUGUAGUGAUACUAAUGAUCUAUUCUAACUAGUUAAUAUCUAUUGAUAUACUAAUUAGCAGCGGCAUAUGUAUUCUUAGGCUUUUGAUGACAUAGUUAUUUUGUAUGUAAUAGAGGUGCUAGAAAGCUAUUAUAGAAUAUGUUUCUUAGUUGGCUGUGAUAUAAUCCCUCAUUAUAAGAGCUAUGUGUGGAAAGUGGCUACUUGAAUCAGGUUCGCUAAAUUGUAGAGUGCUGGUUUUCUUCAUGGAUGAGAAGGUAGACAGACACCUUUGCCGCGAC
Molecule: small RNA, 417 nt
Filed under: Histoplasma capsulatum
Lineage: Eukaryota; Fungi; Ascomycota; Eurotiomycetes; Onygenales; Ajellomycetaceae
Also listed under: 1 other name
Description: hypothetical RNA
Source: RNAcentral